UACAGAGGGUGCGAGCGUUAAUCGGAAUUACUGGGCGUAAAGCGUGCGUAGACGGUCAAGUAAGUCGGGUGUGAAAGCCCCGGGCUCAACCUGGGAAUUGCAUUCGAGACUGCGUGGCUAGGGUGCGGAAGAGGGAAGCGGAAUUUCCGGUGUAGCGGUGAAAUGCGUAGAUAUCGGAAGGAACACCAGUGGCGAAAGCGGCUUCCUGGUCCAGCACCGACGUCAGGCACGAAAGCGUGGGGGCAAACAGGG
RNAcentral lists this ribosomal RNA (252 nucleotides) under uncultured bacterium. RNAcentral describes it as "partial 16S ribosomal RNA". It matches the Rfam family "Bacterial small subunit ribosomal RNA", at positions 524 to 777 of the family's 1533-position model. The record is from RNAcentral.